GUUAGGAAUCUUGCGCAAUGGACGAAAGUCUGACGCAGCGACGCCGCGUGCGGGAUGAAGGCCCUCGGGUUGUAAACCGCUUUCAGCAGGGACGAAAAUGACGGUACCUGCAGAAGAAGCCCCGGCCAACUACGUGCCAGCAGCCGCGGUAAUACGUAGGGGGCGAGCGUUGUCCGGAUUUAUUGGGCGUAAAGAGCUCGUAGGUGGUUUGGUAAGUCGGAUGUGAAAUCUCCAGGCUCAACCUGGAGGGGUCAUUCGAUACUGCCAUGACUAGAGUUCGGUAGGGGAGUGUGGAAUUCCUGGUGGAGCGGUGAAAUGCGCAGAUAUCAGGAGGAACACCCGUAGCGAAGGCGGCACUCUGGGCCGAUACUGACACUGAGGAGCGAAAGCGUGGGGAGCGAACAGGAUUAGAAACCCGAGUAGUCC
Molecule: ribosomal RNA, 426 nt
Filed under: uncultured bacterium
Lineage: Bacteria
Description: bacterial SSU rRNA
Rfam family: Bacterial small subunit ribosomal RNA
Source: RNAcentral